GGGUCAGUAUGUUGGUCGUGCUUCGGUACGUACUGUCAUUACUGGUUUCUACCUUCUGAAGAACCACGAUGUCAUUAAUUUGGUGUCAUGGGGAAUCAGGACUGUUACUUUGAAAAAAUUAGAGUGUUUAAAGCAGGCGUUCGCUUGAAUACAUUAGCAUGGAAUAAUGGAAUAGGACCC
This 180-nucleotide ribosomal RNA is filed under the name uncultured Glomeromycotina. Its description in RNAcentral is "partial small subunit ribosomal RNA". The stretch from base 36 to 180 matches the Rfam family "Eukaryotic small subunit ribosomal RNA", at positions 683 to 830 of the family's 1831-position model. Lineage: Eukaryota; Fungi; Glomeromycota. The record is from RNAcentral.